GGCGGUGGAAAACAAACCAAAUGGGAUUCUUCAAGUAAUGGCGAAUGAACCUAGAUAUGCUCAAUUUGAAAAACACAGUGAUACUGUUUGACAUGUAAUUUCAAAAUGUACAACCAAUUGGCAUGCAAGUGGAAGCUCAUUGAAAGAAUGCGUCGAAGAAGGUGAAAAUCCAUUUUGCCACUUGUAAUGUUGUUGUUUAUGGUGUAUAUUUCAAGAGUCACAUUCCUUGGCAUUGGAAUGCAAUGUGGGUGGUAAACUUCAUGCAAAGAUUAAUAUGUGUUUGAGAUUGAUAGUACACAAAUACCGUGAGGGAAAUAUGAAAAGGACUUUGAAAAGAGAUUUAAAAGAGUUUGCAGUUGCUGAACAAAAAACAAAUAGGAUGUCGACGAUUGAGCAGAUUGUUGAACCUCGGUUUGCUUCAAUUGCUAGCAUGUGUGUAUUCAAUGAUUCUAUCUUUGUCUACCAUACCAUUCUCAGCGUAUCAUGACACUUGCAGGUUUCGUGUUUUUGCUUGCGGGCUAAUGACAACACCUGCUUGAGAAUGGUAUGCCAAGUGUUCAUUGUGCUUAGAGUCUGCAUACUGCUUAUGUUAAGUUGCAAUUCUGAACUUGUGCUUUGAGCUGUGCUUUACCUUCUGCAUAUGUCUAUUGGUGAUCAUAUCCUGCUUGACCCGUCUUGAAACACGGACCAAGGAGUCUAAUAGAUGUGCAAGCUUUGAAACUGCUAUUUUGUUUAAACCAAUGAAAUUAAGAGCUGGGAUUUUUGCACCAGCAACCAAUUGAUUGGUGGGUAAAGCCUUGAGUUGGAGCAUAUUUAUUAGGACCCGAAAGAUGGUGAACUAUGCCUGAAGAGAAUGAAUUCAGAGGAAACUCUGACGGAAGUUCGCAUCAAUACUGACGUGCAAAUCGUUUGUCAUACUUGGGUAUAGGGGCGAAAGACUAAUCGAACCAUCUAGUAGCU
RNAcentral lists this ribosomal RNA (960 nucleotides) under Coolia canariensis. RNAcentral's name for it is "partial large subunit ribosomal RNA". It matches the Rfam family "Eukaryotic large subunit ribosomal RNA", at positions 49 to 952 of the family's 3401-position model. Lineage: Eukaryota; Dinophyceae; Peridiniales; Ostreopsidaceae. The record is from RNAcentral.